CGACACUCAGUCACUCUCUCUCGCGGCUCGCCUCAGACUGAAACCCUCACCUCACCAGAAAACGUCUCGCCGAUUUGUCUUUCCGUUUGAAUCCGCCCACACAAGUGACUCACCUGAGACACAUCUCUCUCGGCUAUCACCUCUCUGAUCUCUCUCUCAGUCUCUCUCGACUUCUCAUCCCUCACAGUGGAGGAGCCUUCCUUCACGAAUCACGGCCAUUGGCGCCGCUCUCCUUCUCAGUCUCUCAGUCUCUCUCGAUUCCACUCAUCCAGUGCACUGUGCACCGAUUCUCCCCCAAAUCUGAUACGAUCCAAAUCUCUAGGCCCUUAAUCAACCUGCAAGUAACACAGAGAAGAGAGAUGGAGAGGGAAGGAAGAGAGAGAGCAGAGCUCUUGAAUAUUUUUUUGUUUAUAUUUCUGUUUGUGUAAAUUCUGAUCUGUUUUCAAACCAAAGAGCAGGUGCUCUUAUACACGAAGUGUGACUCCUGCCAGCUGGCAUUUCUAACAAAUUAUCCUAAUAACCAGUAACCCUCAAUUACAACUAUUUUGACUCUUUAAUUAAAGCAUAAGCCUCAAUCACAAAUUGGGUUCAUAACAAUAUUUCCCCCUUGAAAAUUAGCCUUGUCCUCAAGGCUUAAAAAAUAACUGUGGAAACUUGUUUGAAACGAGCAGCAACUAGCAGGGUGGCGGCAGUAGCAAAAUUUUCCUUCAACGCAAUUUCAGCUUUGGUGUUGAAGAUGCUUGUCCUGCUGGCGACAAUAAAGACAAAGUGAAACUGUCCUUGGAACUGGCCAUUAUAUGAACCCUCCUUAGUAAUCUGUUUCCAAGCAUUUUGGUGACUUGGGACAUGCCACUGAUAUUCAGACCUCGAAAUAUCACAGGGAAGAGGAUCCACCUGAAUAUGAGCCCAUGAUGAGUAUCUGUUGAUCACCUUUGCAAGAUACUUAAGAACAUUCUCACGGGCGUCGGCAUUUUUUAGUAGCAAGAGAAUAACUGCAGUAAGGUCAUCAUAUAAGUUGUUCAUGAUUGUCUCAAUUGUGGCAAUUGAAGAUUGCAGAUCAGCUGAUCUACAAGUUGAAGCCUCCUCAAUACCAUCCACCAUCGCAAGUGCACCAUCAGUAAUACGAAGAGCAGAUGUGACCCCCCCAGAUGAAAAAUCAAUGUGCUUGGAUGAAUCAAUGUGAUUGAUAAGGUACUCAUUUUCAUUACUCUUUCCCUUGUAACUCAUCAGAGAUUCAUCAGUCAUCUCAUAGUACAAAGAGUUAUCAUGGAAAAGACCAAGUAUACUAGUUAACUUCAUGCGUGAAAAUACCUUCUCUUCCAUUAACACACUGUAUUCAAAGGUGCCUCAUGAUUUGUACUAAGUACCUUAUUGAGCAUCUCACAUGUGGUACAAAGGUGAAGGCAAGCCGUUGCAUUUUGGAAGACAUCAAUCUUGUACUUUUCUUUGAAUUUUCCUGCAAAGCGGUGGAACCAUGCUUCAUCAAAGCCCCUACCUCUGAAAUUGAAGGAAUCCACAUAAGCAUGCACAACUUUUGGAGGAAAUUCUUCAAACAACCACAAGUACUGCCUCACUGCAUUGACGGUACCACACUGCUGCGCAGUUUCAGCCACAAAUUGUAGCGCCUCUUUUUUCCUAGAUUUCCCACACUCCUUGGAAUGUAUUCCAUGAAAUAAGAAAAGUAAGAUUGAAGAUGUUGUUGUUCCAUUCUCCUGAAAAAGAAGCUUGACCUCAAUCUCUAAAUUUGGGGAACUUGUGAGAUUGUUGGUAACCAUGAAAAUGACUUUCUUGAAGUAAGAGGUCUGUGCAAUCAGUGAUUUCCUUGGAUUAAGUGGCAAGGCAUCAGAUAAGUAGGUGUCAUCAGAAAAAUGUUGAUCCACCUCUGCCAAAUAUAACAUCUCUUCGACCAUGAAACAAUGAUCUUCAAACAAAAUGGCCCAAGUCCUGAUAUCAAACACAUUUUCAUUUGUAGUUCCCUCUCUUAUAACAAUACCCACACUAGCCUUUCCUACACUCAAUAGCUCCAAGAGGAAUUGUAAUACUAUAGUAUCUAGUGCAGCAUCACAGAAUAAUAUGGCAAUUUCCCAUGCAUUAUCAUGCUCAAUAACCAAGGGUAGGCAAAGAACAAUAGGAAGCAAUUUAUGGAAAUUGCAAGGGAAUAACUCUGCCUUGAUUUUGAGAAGAUCAUUUAUGUGUUUACAGCUGAGAAUUGCAAGCAUGUCCUGUUCUUGUCCGACAUGUCCACCUUUAAGCCCUUUCAAGUUGGCAGAUUCUUCCAAGAGCCUGAUAAUGGAUGUAACAAACCCGAAAGCCUUUCUCUUCCCCUUUUCUUCUACUACCGUGAAAGAGAGAAUGCAGGGCUUCUCCAUCAACCAUUUUUUAUUAUUCCUCUUAUUGAAGAAAACUCUUUGAUAAGAUAUAUUGUCACAAGGAUCAUUGAGCUUGUGACACCAACCCGGUUGCUGGAAAAUCUGGUCAUGCUCCACGCAAUUAGGAAAAGAAACAGCAUCAAGGUGUACAUCAACCCUAUUACAAAAUUCCUUAUUCAAUUUCAAUAAUAAGCUGGUGAAAAUAGAAUAGUGAAGCUGGGAAAUGGCCAUGACUGUCAACGCACAGAUGUGUAACAAUGAUAAGCAGAGGAACUGCUUGAUAACAUGGAUAUGACCCAAGGUCCCAUUCUCCUUAGUGAAACUAGCGACAAGAUCUUUAGGCCAAGACCGAUAUACAAGUACAACAAUAUCCAAAGCUUCCAAGUUGCUACUGAAUGACAUAUUCUCCAUAUUAUGCCUCUCAAACAUUUCAUCAAACAGAUGCAAUGCAUAGAAAUUCUUCAUCACAAAUUUACCCACAAGGUACCAAUUACCCCAUCCACAUUUAGCAGUUAAGAAGUCUUCAUACAUUAUCACAAUAACACCAGUAUAAUAUGCCAGAAUAAGCUGCAAAACCCAAUACCAUUUGUCCUUCCGAUUUGUAAAAUUGGAAAGCAAGGAUGUCAAUACCUCGUGUCGACGCUUUGUGGUGUUUGUAUGCGUUAAGGGCAGCAUAUAAAGACAUAUAGUCUGUGGGUUGAAGCUCCAGUAAUCUCCAUACUCCUCAAGGUUGAUGGAGUCACUGACGUUUUGGUCUGCAAGUAGAAAAGGGACUGCAAUUUUGGUGGUUCCUGUGUUCCUCAGAGGAGACACAAAACCUUGCACACUGGUGUGAAUUGUCGAUGCCAACGUAUCGUUCGAGUUCAACUGUGGCUUGACGGACGGAGCUGCGAUUUCUCGCAACAAUGGUGAUGACGAAAACAACGGCGGAACGGAAUGGACUUCGAUUGGAGAUGGAAGUCUCGGCGGAGUAUCGUCUCCUAGAAGUCCGGGAUGACCGAGAGCGAUUGAUUGCGUGUCAUCGGAAGUAGUCGGGACUGCAUCAGAAACUCCCUCCGCUCUGAGAGCCGAGUCGCGGCAGAGCAAGGCCCAAUCACGGCUGAAAUUCGUCGUGAAAUUUGUGAAUGCAGAAUCCAAAGCUUCGCGGAGUGCAUCACGGAGCGCAGCACGCAGCGAAGCUUCAAAGGAGUCGAUUGCAGCGGAGAGGCGUGCAUCCAUUGCAGGAAGACGGUUCGGGUGGGCGUCCACAGGAGGGAAACCAGGAUUCGAGAAGGAUGAUACCAUUGAUACGAUCCAAAUCUCUAGGCCCUUAAUCAACCUGCAAGUAACACAGAGAAGAGAGAUGGAGAGGGAAGGAAGAGAGAGAGCAGAGCUCUUGAAUAUUUUUUUGUUUAUAUUUCUGUUUGUGUAAAUUCUGAUCUGUUUUCAAACCAAAGAGCAGGUGCUCUUAUACACGAAGUGUGACUCCUGCCAGCUGGCAUUUCUAACAAAUUAUCCUAAUAACCAGUAACCCUCAAUUACAACUAUUUUGACUCUUUAAUUAAAGCAUAAGCCUCAAUCACAAAUUGGGUUCAUAACA
RNAcentral lists this long non-coding RNA (3948 nucleotides) under Malus domestica (apple). RNAcentral's name for it is "long non-coding RNA (MDOM_LNC008843)". The record is from RNAcentral. Lineage: Eukaryota; Viridiplantae; Streptophyta; Magnoliopsida; Rosales; Rosaceae.